AUGUGGAUUCACUCUCAUGUCGGCAUACUCUCCAGCAAAUCGCCCGAUGAGUUGCGUCUUCUAAUGGCGGAUCCGGUGUCGGCUGCUGUCGCUGUUGGGUGGGCCAUGAAGGCCGCUGGGUGGGUCGCCUCGCCCAUCAUCUCUGAGCUUUACAAGAAGGCCUCCUCCGUCCUCAACUUGGAUGCUUCGGGGAAGCUCAAGGAACUGGAGCCAAAGAUUUUGCUGCUACAGCGCGUGAUGGAAGUAGUUGAGGAGAGCCCUUACAGGCCUUGUCUGGAGCAGCUGUUCAGCGAUCUGAAGUCUGCUUUCUACGAAGCAGAGGACAUCUUGGAUGAUGUUGAGUAUUACCGUCUCGAGAAACAGAUACAAGAUGACUAUCUCAAGUUAGAGGUGGCCACGCCUCGACGGAACAAGAAUCGUGUGAAGAAGCUCUUGAAGUCUGCCGUGAAAAAGUGCAAUGCCCUGAAAGAUGAGCAGUGUGGCAUGUCAAAAAUCGAGUUGAAGCAGAGCCUAGAAAAAAUAGAAAAGGUCAUAAAUGAUGCAUGUGGAUUUUUUGAACAGAUGAACUUUACAAACAAAAGUAACACUAAUCUGACCAAACCUGCCAACUCACGAGGUGCAGUCACUACGGCGAGGCCUCCAUCUGUGGUCAUCGGACGAGAUAAAGAUUGUGAUAACAUAGUAGCAAUGCUUCAUGAUAAGGAAGAAGGUGCUCAACCAGACACCAAGAGUGUUCAAUGUUAUUCCGUAAUCGGCAUUCAUGGCAUCGGUGGUUCUGGGAAAUCAACCCUUUCACAACUUGUUUGUGCCCGUGAGCAAAAGGAUGGUCAUUUCAACCUUGUUAUGUGGGUUCACGUUUCUCAGGAUUUUAGUGUGGAUACCAUUUUCGGGCAGAUGUCUGAGGCCGCUAGCAGGACCCCGUGCCCUCAGUUCAAUAAUCUUGACACCUUACAAACUAAUUUGGAGAAGGUACUGCAUGGAAAACGGUUCCUCUUGGUACUAGAUGAUGUUUGGUACAAUAAUAGAGAUGUGAGGCAGUAUGAGAAGCUGCAACAGAUACUUUCACCGCUGAACGCUGGAGAAGCAGGAAGCAAGAUCCUGGUGACUAGCCGAACUAAAGAUGCAUUGAUAGCUCUGGGUGCUGCAGAGCAGAGAUGUAUUCCCAUGUCAGUCCUAGGUGAAGAUGUCUUCCUGAAAUUGUUCAAGCACUAUGCAUUUCACAACGUGUGCGUUGCUGCUGAUGACCGAAUAAGACUCGAAGACAUCGCAACUCAGAUUGCAAAAAAGCUAAAGGGGUCGCCUCUAGUGGCCAAAAUUGUUGGAGGGCAGCUACGUAUGAGGCCAAACAUUGAUUACUGGAGAAUUUCGCGAGAUGGGAACCACUUGGAUGACACCAUGGGAGCUCUGUGGUGGAGCUACCAACAUCUUGAUGAACAGGUCAGACAAUGCUUCGCUUACUGCAGUAUUUUUCCUCGGAGACGUCAGUUGGAACAACAUGAGUUAGUUAAGCUUUGGGCUGCAGAAGGGUUUGCUAGAAGUAGCGAUGAAGGGAAGGAUUCAGAAGAUGUUUGCCAGGGAUACUUUGAUGUACUAGUGUCAGCCUCAUUUCUGCAACAUGGAGUAGGGAAGUACUCCAGUAAAACGGACACUUAUAUAGUUCAUGAUCUGUUGCUUGAUUUAGCGGAUAAGGUCGCUGGAAGUGAUUGUUUCAGAACUGAGAAUCGGUGGAAAAGGUCAGGAGAUAGCUGGACAAUGGAAGGAUGUGAAGAUGAAGUUCCCCCAGACAUCCGCCAUGUUUUUGUUCAGACCUAUGGUUCAGAAUUGAUCAAUGAGAAAAUAUGUAAAUUGGACAACCUGCGCACUCUCAUCAUUGACAGUGCAGAAGGGAGAACACCAGUUGAGGAGAAAGUCCUCAAGAGUCUGUUUGUGAGGCUAAGGAAGUUGCGGGUGCUUACCGUAGCUAGUGAUCAAGGUAUGUUGUCAGUCCCAGAAUCUAUUGGUCAGCUAAGGCAUCUACGGUAUCUUGCUUUUAUGACCAGAUAUGGUUCAGACAGCAGGCUGGUUUUACCAGGCACUUUGACCAAGCUUUACCACAUGCAGGUUCUAGAUUUUGGUAACAUUAGCGAUUUGGUGUUUGGCUCGUGUGAAGAUAUGUUUAGUCUCAUCAACUUGCGACAUAUAAUCCGAGUGCCGUUUCGGGAAAUUCGAAGCAUUGGCAGGCUGACAUUACUUCGAACGCUGGAAACAUUUGAAGUAAGAGAGGAACAAGGGUGCGAGUUAAAGCAACUCAGCGACCUAAACCAGCUUUGUGGCAAACGGACUAUCUUGGGCCUCCAAAAUGUUGAAAGCCAGCAGGAAGCUCUUGAAGCCAACCUAGCCGAUAAAGAAGGGCUCAGAACAUUGGAACUGUGGUGGAAUUAUGAUGAGAGAGCAGAGUUAAAAGAAAAGGAAGUUCAGACAGAGGUACUAGAGGGUCUAUGCCCACCGAAGCUUCUCGAAUCACUGACCAUAUACUGCUACGAUGGUUUGAGAUACCCAAGUUGGAUGAUGGGUAGGCACAAUGGUGGCCCAAAGUAUCUGAGCACACUCAGCCUGCACUGUUGCAGCACAGAACUUGGCCCAGAACUUGGUGGGUUUUGCCCUCACCUCCGUUCACUCUAUAUCUUCGGUUGCAGCUGGGACACCUUGCCAGACAAAAUGGAGCACCUGACGUCACUGAAGGUCCUGGGCCUCGAUCGCUGCCGGAAUAUUCGGUCGCUUCCAAUGCUGCCGCAGUCUCUUGAGUGCUUCAGACUCAGUCGCUCCAAUGAGAUGUUGACGAGUUCGUGCAGAACAGUUAGAGAUCCCAAUUGGGAAAAGCUUCAGCACGUUCCUGAAGUAUAUGUUGAAGGCUACCGGCUGGAAACGAGAGCCUGA
Molecule: ribosomal RNA, 2916 nt
Filed under: Triticum aestivum (bread wheat)
Lineage: Eukaryota; Viridiplantae; Streptophyta; Magnoliopsida; Poales; Poaceae
Description: partial small subunit ribosomal RNA
Source: RNAcentral